UACAGAGGUCCCAAGCGUUGUUCGGAUUCACUGGGCGUAAAGGGUGCGUAGGCGGUCGGGUAAGUCUGAUGUGAAAUCUCACAGCUUAACUGUGAAACUGCAUUGGAUACUAUCCGGCUCGAGGAAUGGAGGGGAGACUGGAAUACUUGGUGUAGCAGUGAAAUGCAUAGAUAUCAAGUGGAACACCAGUGGCGAAGGCGAGUCUCUGGACAUUUCCUGACGCUGAGGCACGAAAGCCAGGGGAGCAAACGGG
This 253-nucleotide ribosomal RNA is filed under the name uncultured bacterium. RNAcentral's name for it is "partial 16S ribosomal RNA". It matches the Rfam family "Bacterial small subunit ribosomal RNA", at positions 524 to 776 of the family's 1533-position model. The record is from RNAcentral.